GGGGCUGUAGCUCAGUGGCAGAGCAGCUGCCUUGUAUGCAGAAAGUCCCAAAUUCAAUCCCUGGCAUCUCUA
This 72-nucleotide transfer RNA is filed under the name Podarcis lilfordi (Lilford's wall lizard). It matches the Rfam family "tRNA". Rfam says of the family: Transfer RNA (tRNA) molecules are approximately 80 nucleotides in length. Their secondary structure includes four short double-helical elements and three loops (D, anti-codon, and T loops). Lineage: Eukaryota; Metazoa; Chordata; Lepidosauria; Squamata; Lacertidae. The record is from Rfam by way of RNAcentral.